GGAGAGGUGCUCGAGUGGUUUAAGAGGCACGCUUGGAAAGCGUGUGUACUUCAAAAGGGUACCGGGGGUUCGAAUCCCUUCCUCUCCG
Molecule: transfer RNA, 88 nt
Filed under: Candidatus Symbiothrix sp.
Lineage: Bacteria; Pseudomonadati; Bacteroidota; Bacteroidia; Bacteroidales
Description: tRNA-Ser
Rfam family: tRNA
About the family: Transfer RNA (tRNA) molecules are approximately 80 nucleotides in length. Their secondary structure includes four short double-helical elements and three loops (D, anti-codon, and T loops).
Source: RNAcentral